GACGAACGCUGGCGGCGCGCCUAACACAUGCAAGUCGAACGAGCGAGAGAGAGCUUGCUUUCUUGAGCGAGUGGCGAACGGGUGAGUAACGCGUGAGGAACCUGCCUCAAAGAGGGGGACAACAGUUGGAAACGACUGCUAAUACCGCAUAAGCCCACGACCCGGCAUCGGGUUGAGGGAAAAGGAGCAAUCCGCUUUGAGAUGGCCUCGCGUCCGAUUAGCUAGUUGGUGAGGUAACGGCCCACCAAGGCGACGAUCGGUAGCCGGACUGAGAGGUUGAACGGCCACAUUGGGACUGAGACACGGCCCAGACUCCUACGGGAGGCAGCAGUGGGGAAUAUUGCACAAUGGGGGAAACCCUGAUGCAGCGACGCCGCGUGGAGGAAGAAGGUCUUCGGAUUGUAAACUCCUGUUGUGGAGGAAGAUAAUGACGGUACUCAACAAGGAAGAGACGGCUAACUACGUG
Molecule: ribosomal RNA, 466 nt
Filed under: uncultured bacterium
Lineage: Bacteria
Description: partial 16S ribosomal RNA
Rfam family: Bacterial small subunit ribosomal RNA
Source: RNAcentral